RNAcentral lists this ribosomal RNA (482 nucleotides) under uncultured bacterium. Its description in RNAcentral is "partial 16S ribosomal RNA". It matches the Rfam family "Bacterial small subunit ribosomal RNA", at positions 28 to 507 of the family's 1533-position model. The record is from RNAcentral.
GACGAACGCUGGCGGCGUGCCUAACACAUGCAAGUCGAACGGAACUGUUUUGAAAGAUUUCUUCGGAAUGAAUUUGAUUUAGUUUAGUGGCGGACGGGUGAGUAACGCGUGAGUAACCUGCCUUCAAGAGGGGAAUAACAUUCUGAAAAGAAUGCUAAUACCGCAUGACAUAUCGGAACCACAUGGUUUUGAUAUCAAAGAUUUUAUCGCUUGAAGAUGGACUCGCGUCCGAUUAGUUAGUUGGUGAGGUAACGGCUCACCAAGACCGCGAUCGGUAGCCGGACUGAGAGGUUGAACGCCCACAUUGGGACUGAGACACGGCCCAGACUCCUACGGGAGGCAGCAGUGGGGGAUAUUGCGCAAUGGGGGCAACCCUGACGCAGCAACGCCGCGUGAAGGAUGAAGGUUUUCGGAUUGUAAACUUCUUUUAUUAAGGACGAAAAAUGACGGUACUUAAUGAAUAAGCUCCGGCUAACUACGUG